UUAACUAUCCUCUCAAAGCACAUCAUGAUGACAGAAGUGAGAGAUACGGGGUGAUAGUCAUUUAGUUCAGUUACCUUUACUUUCUUGGGUACAGGAACAAUGGUGGACAUCUUGAAGCAAGUGGGGACAGCAGACUGGGAUAGAGAGAGAUUGAAUAUGUCCGUAAAACUCCAGUCACUUGUUCUGCGCAUGCUCUGAGGAUGCGGAUAGGGAUGCUGUCUGGGCCUGCAGUCUUGCGAGUGUUAACACGCUUAAAUGUCUUACUCACGUCAGCCACGGAAAACGAGAGUGGGCUGGGAGCGGGCUGCGUCGGUGGCACUGUGUUAUCCUCAAAGCGGGUGAAGAAGGUAUUUAGCUUGUCUGGGAGCAAGACGUCGGUGUCUGCGAUGUGGCUGGUUUUCCCUUUGUAAUCCGUGAUUGUCUGUAGACCCUACCACAUGCGUCUUGUGUCUGAACUGUUGAAUCGCGACUCCACUUUGUCUCUGUACUGACUUUUUGCCUGUUUGAUUGCCUUAUGGAAGGAAUAACUACACUGUUUGUAUUCAACCAUAUCCCCAGUCACCUUGCCAUGGUUAAAUGCGGUGGUCCGUGCUUUCAGAUUUGCUCGAAUGCUGCCAUCGAUCCACGGUUUCUGGUUUGGGUAUGUUUUAAUAGUCACCAUGGGAACAACCUACCCUGUACACUUCCUGAUGAACUCAGUCACAGUGUCCGUGUAUACGUCUAUGUUAUUCUCAGAGGCUACCCGGAACAUAUCCCAGUCUGCAUGAUCAAGACAAUCUUGAAGCAUGGAUUCUGGUUGGUCAGACCAGCAUUGAAUAGAGUUUAGCACGUGUACUUCCUGUUCGAGUUUCUGCCUAUAGAGAAGGGGGGAGCAAAAUGGAGUCAUGAUCUGAUUUGCUGAAGGGAGGGUGGGGAGGGCCUUGUAGGCAUAGGCAUUUCGAAAAGGCGAGUAGCAGUGAUCUAGUGUUUUUCCUAAGCGAGUACUACAGUCAAUGUGUUGAUAGAACUUUGGUAGGGAUUUCCUCAAAUUUGCUUUGUUAAAGAAAGGUGCAUGUUUUAAGAUCUGACAAGUCUCCCAUUUCACUCCCUCUCUGUCUCUUUGUGCUGGUUUGUUGAAAUGAACCUGUAGCUAUAUCAUUGUUUCUUUCACUGAAUAAAAGAGGAAAUAAUAUG
Molecule: long non-coding RNA, 1173 nt
Filed under: Salmo salar (Atlantic salmon)
Lineage: Eukaryota; Metazoa; Chordata; Actinopteri; Salmoniformes; Salmonidae
Description: lncRNA (ENSSSAG00000084319.1)
Source: RNAcentral